RNAcentral lists this ribosomal RNA (367 nucleotides) under uncultured eukaryote. Its description in RNAcentral is "partial 18S ribosomal RNA". It matches the Rfam family "Eukaryotic small subunit ribosomal RNA", at positions 592 to 976 of the family's 1831-position model. The record is from RNAcentral.
CAAUAGCGUAUAUUUAAGUUGUUGCAGUUAAAAAGCUCGUAGUCGGAUUUUGGCUGAGAACGAACGGUCCGCCGUUAGGUGUGCACUGUUUGGUCUCAGCUUCCUGGUGAGGAGGUGUGCUUCACGGCCACUUAGUCACCGUGGUUACUUUGAAAAAAUUAGAGUGUUCAAAGCAGGCUUAUGCCGUUGAAUAUAUUAGCAUGGAAUAAUAAGAUAGGACUUUGGUACUAUUUUGUUGGUUUGCGCACCAAAGUAAUGAUUAAUAGGGACAGUUGGGGGUAUUCGUAUUCCGUUGUCAGAGGUGAAAUUCUUGGAUUUACGGAAGACGAACUACUGCGAAAGCAUUUACCAAGGAUGUUUUCAUUAA